CAGCCACUGCAGAGGGUAUACUGGCACCUUAAAGGCCACAGUACACCCACUGUAAUGGUCGCU
This is a microRNA precursor of Oreochromis aureus, 63 nucleotides long. The record is from Ensembl. Lineage: Eukaryota; Metazoa; Chordata; Actinopteri; Cichliformes; Cichlidae.